This 529-nucleotide ribosomal RNA is filed under the name Pseudomonas sp. RNAcentral's name for it is "bacterial SSU rRNA". It matches the Rfam family "Bacterial small subunit ribosomal RNA", at positions 67 to 591 of the family's 1533-position model. The record is from RNAcentral. Lineage: Bacteria; Pseudomonadati; Pseudomonadota; Gammaproteobacteria; Pseudomonadales; Pseudomonadaceae.
CGGAUGACGGGAGCUUGCUCCUUGAUUCAGCGGCGGACGGGUGAGUAAUGCCUAGGAAUCUGCCUGGUAGUGGGGGACAACGUUUCGAAAGGAACGCUAAUACCGCAUACGUCCUACGGGAGAAAGCAGGGGACCUUCGGGCCUUGCGCUAUCAGAUGAGCCUAGGUCGGAUUAGCUAGUUGGUGAGGUAAUGGCUCACCAAGGCGACGAUCCGUAACUGGUCUGAGAGGAUGAUCAGUCACACUGGAACUGAGACACGGUCCAGACUCCUACGGGAGGCAGCAGUGGGGAAUAUUGGACAAUGGGCGAAAGCCUGAUCCAGCCAUGCCGCGUGUGUGAAGAAGGUCUUCGGAUUGUAAAGCACUUUAAGUUGGGAGGAAGGGCAGUAAGCUAAUACCUUGCUGUUUUGACGUUACCGACAGAAUAAGCACCGGCUAACUCUGUGCCAGCAGCCGCGGUAAUACAGAGGGUGCAAGCGUUAAUCGGAAUUACUGGGCGUAAAGCGCGCGUAGGUGGUUCGUUAAGUUGG